GAAACAAGGCUAAACCGCGAAUGGCUCAUUAAAUCAGUUGUGGUUCCUUAGAUCGUACCAAGUUACUUGGAUAACUGUGGCAAUUCUAGAGCUAAUACAUGCUACCGAUGCUUCGUCUUUGCGGACGGAGAGCUUUUAUUAGAACAGGGCCAACGGAUUCGCCUCGUGCGAAUUCUGAAACUCCUGGUGACUCUGAAUAACUUUGGGCUGAUCGCACGGUCUAGUACCGGCGACUUAUCUUUCAAGUGUCUGCCUUAUCAACUGUCGAUGGUAGGUUACGCGCCUACCAUGGUUGUCACGGGUGACGGGGAAUCAGGGUUCGAUUCCGGAGAGGGAGCCUGAGAAACGGCUACCACAUCCAAGGAAGGCAGCAGGCGCGCAAAUUACCCACUCCCGGCACGGGGAGGUAGUGACGAAAAAUA
Molecule: ribosomal RNA, 422 nt
Filed under: Linguatula serrata
Lineage: Eukaryota; Metazoa; Arthropoda; Ichthyostraca; Porocephalida; Linguatulidae
Description: SSU rRNA
Rfam family: Eukaryotic small subunit ribosomal RNA
Source: RNAcentral